UUAGUUGUGUGGAACGUGCGCGGCUUAAACAAUCCGGCAAAGCGCAAUGCAAUAAAUAACGCCAUUUCGAGCUCGGGCGCGAGUGUGGUUUGUCUCCAGGAGACCAAAAUACAGGACAUGGACACGUCGCUUGUACGGCACUGCCUCGGGCCGACCUUUGACCAGUUCUUCUGCGCGCCGGCUGUCGGGACCCAUGGCGGUAUCUGA
This 207-nucleotide ribosomal RNA is filed under the name Triticum aestivum (bread wheat). RNAcentral's name for it is "partial small subunit ribosomal RNA". The record is from RNAcentral. Lineage: Eukaryota; Viridiplantae; Streptophyta; Magnoliopsida; Poales; Poaceae.